UCAACUGUGGAACUGCCUUUCAUACUGGCAAGCUAGAGUCCGGAAGAGGGCAGUGGAACUCCUAGUGUAGAGGUGGAAUUCGUAGAUAUUAGGAAGAACACCAGUGGCGAAGGCGGCUUACUGGUCCGGAACUGACGCUGAGGUGCGAAAGCGUGGGGAGCAAACA
This 166-nucleotide ribosomal RNA is filed under the name uncultured bacterium. RNAcentral describes it as "partial 16S ribosomal RNA". It matches the Rfam family "Bacterial small subunit ribosomal RNA", at positions 609 to 774 of the family's 1533-position model. The record is from RNAcentral.